RNAcentral lists this ribosomal RNA (805 nucleotides) under Dicranoloma assimile. Its description in RNAcentral is "eukaryotic LSU rRNA". The stretch from base 294 to 446 matches the Rfam family "5.8S ribosomal RNA". Lineage: Eukaryota; Viridiplantae; Streptophyta; Bryopsida; Dicranales; Dicranaceae. The record is from RNAcentral.
GAUCAUUGCACACACAGAGUUGCGGCAAACCCUGCGAGCGAACGUCGUGAUUGUCCCCUUGGCCGGCUUUUUUUUUGGAGGGGGGGCGCGCGCGCACCUGGAGCGAGCGGGUCGCUGCGUCGCGCGCUGGAGCCGGCCAACUCCGAGGGAGUGUCCCUCCCAGACCCCCGAUUGCGCAAUGCGUCAACACUUUGGCUGAGUUAUGGAAAGCGAGCGAGCGAGUAUGUGGGCGGCUCCAGCGGGGUGGCUGGAGCGCUCAUCACGAGUUGUGCAAGUAUGAAAAACAGAAAACCAACUCUCAGCAACGGAUAUCUUGGCUCUUGCAACGAUGAAGAACGCAGCGAAAUGCGAUACGUAGUGUGAAUUGCAGAAUUCCGCGAAUCAUCGAGUCUUUGAACGCAAGUUGCGCCCGAGGCUUGACCAAGGGCAUCCCUGCCAGAGCGUCACCGCGACACCCACCAAUCCGCUCCCGGCUGGCUGGGAGGGAGCGCGACUGAGUGAAACUGGGCAUCCGAAUGGGCGCCACGCCACCCGGGACUUGGGUGUGCCUUGGGUGGGGUGGCGGAUUGGGUUGGCUGAGAUUUUGGAGGGAAUUCGGCCGCCGUGGUGACACAGCCCGCGAUCAGGUGUGCCCCGCGUCUUGGAAACUUCAAAGCGUGGUGCUGUGUCUCCCAGUUGGGUAACGAGGAUUCCAAAGCAGGUCCCGGACUCCCCCGCAUCUCCCUGCCUUGCGCUCGGCGCUCGGAGGGAGGGGGCGAGUGUCCCGAGGUGUUAACGUCACGCAUCAGACCUCUGAUCAGGGAAG